GAUGAACGCUGACAGAAUGCUUAACACAUGCAAGUCUACUUGAACUUCGGUUUGGGUGGCGGACGGGUGAGUAACGCGUAAAGAACUUGCCUCACAGAUAGGGACAACAUUUGGAAACGAAUGCUAAUACCUGAUAUUAUGAUUUUAGGGCAUCCUAGAAUUAUGAAAGCUAUAUGCACUGUGAGAGAGCUUUGCGUCCCAUUAGCUAGUUGGAGAGGUAACGGCUCACCAAGGCGAUGAUGGGUAGCCGGCCUGAGAGGGUGAUCGGCCACAAGGGGACUGAGACACGGCCCUUACUCCUACGGGAGGCAGCAGUGGGGAAUAUUGGACAAUGGACCAAGAGUCUGAUCCAGCAAUUCUGUGAGCACGAUGAAGUUUUUCGGAAUGUAAAGUGCUUUCAGUUGGGAAGAAAAAAAUGACGGUACCAACAGAAGAAGUGACGGCUAAAUACGUG
This 454-nucleotide ribosomal RNA is filed under the name uncultured bacterium. RNAcentral describes it as "partial 16S ribosomal RNA". It matches the Rfam family "Bacterial small subunit ribosomal RNA", at positions 28 to 507 of the family's 1533-position model. The record is from RNAcentral.